This 1376-nucleotide ribosomal RNA is filed under the name uncultured bacterium. RNAcentral describes it as "bacterial SSU rRNA". It matches the Rfam family "Bacterial small subunit ribosomal RNA". The record is from RNAcentral.
AGAGUUUGCUUCUGGCUCAGGACGAACGCUGGCGGCGUGCCUAACACAUGCAAGUCGAACGGGGUACCUUCGGGUACUUAGUGGCGAACGGGUGAGUAACGCGUGAGGAACCUGCCUUCCAGUGGGGGACAACAGUUGGAAACGACUGCUAAUACCGCAUAACACAGUUGAACCGCAUGAUUUAACUGUCAAAGCUUUAUGUGCUGGAAGAUGGCCUCGCGUCUGAUUAGCUAGUUGGUGGGGUAACGGCCUACCAAGGCGACGAUCAGUAGCCGGUCUGAGAGGAUGAACGGCCACAUUGGGACUGAGAUACGGCCCAGACUCCUACGGGAGGCAGCAGUGGGGAAUAUUGGGCAAUGGGGGUAACCCUGACCCAGCAACGCCGCGUGAAGGAAGAAGGCCUUCGGGUUGUAAACUUCUUUUACCAGGGACGAAGAACGUGACGGUACCUGGAGAAAAAGCAACGGCUAACUACGUGCCAGCAGCCGCGGUAAUACGUAGGUUGCAAGCGUUGUCCGGAUUUACUGGGUGUAAAGGGCGUGUAGGCGGAGAUGCAAGUCAGGAGUGAAAUCCCGGGGCUCAACCCUGGAACUGCUUUUGAAACUGUAUCCCUUGAGUGUCGGAGAGGCAAGCGGAAUUCCUAGUGUAGCGGUGAAAUGCGUAGAUAUCACGCAGAACUCCGAUUGCGAAGGCAGCAUACCGGUGCUCAACUGACGCUGAGGCGCGAAAGCGUGGGGAGCAAACAGGAUUAGAUACCCUGGUAGUCCACGCUGUAAACGAUGAAUACUAGGUGUGGGAGGGACUGACCCCUUCCGUGCCGCAGUUAACCAACAAUUAAGUAAUUCCACUGGGGGGAGUAGGGCCCGCAGGGUGGAAAUUCAAAAGGAUUUGGGGGGGGGCCCCCACAAGCAGGGGGAUUAUGUGGUUUAAUUGGACGCAACGGGAAGACCCUUACCGGGUUUUGACAUCCACCUAACGAAGUAGAGAUACAUUAGGUGCCCUUCGGGGAAAGUUGAGACGGGUGGUGCAUGGUUGUCGUCAGCUCGUGUCGUGAGAUGUUGGGUUAAGUCCCGCAACGAGCGCAACCCCUAUUGUUAGUUGCUACGCAAGAGCACUCUAGCGAGACUGCCGUUGACAAAACGGAGGAAGGCGGGGACGACGUCAAAUCAUCAUGCCCCUUAUGUCCUGGGCUACACACGUAAUACAAUGGUGGUUAACAGAGGGAAGCAAAACAGCGAUGUGGAGCAAAUCCCUAAAAGCCAUCUCAGUUCGGAUUGCAGGCUGCAACUCGCCUGCAUGAAGCUGGAAUUGCUAGUAAUCGCGGAUCAGCAUGCCGCGGUGAAUACGAUCCCGGGCCUUGCACUCACCGCCCGUCA